CCUUUAAAGAAAGCGUAAUAGCUCACUAGUCGAGUCGGCCUGCGCGGAAGAUGUAACGGGGCUAAAACUAUGUGCCGAAGCUGCGGAUGUAUACUUUGUAUACGUGGUAGGGGAGCGUUCUGUAAGCCGAUGAAGGUGUGUUGAGAAGCAUGCUGGAGGUAUCAGAAGUGCGAAUGCUGACGUGAGUAACGACAAAACGGGUGAAAAACCCGUUCGCCGAAAGACCAAGGGUUCCAGUCCAACGUUAAUCGGGGCUGGGUGAGUCGACCCCUAAGGCGAGGCCGAAAGGCGUAGUCGAUGGGAAAAUGGUUAAUAUUCCAUUACUUCUGUGUAAUGCGAUGAGAGGACGGAGAAGGCUAAAUCAGCCUGGCGUUGGUUGUCCAGGUGAAAGGAUGUAGGCAUGUAUCUUAGGCAAAUCCGGGGUACUCUAUGCUGAGAUCUGAUAGCAAGCUGUACUUGUACAGCGAAGUGGUUGAUGCCAUGCUUCCAGGAAAAGUCUCUAAGCUUCAGUUACACAGGAAUCGUACCCGAAACCGACACAGGUGGUCAGGUCGAGUAGACCAAGGCGCUUGAGAGAACUCUGCUGAAGGAACUAGGCAAAAUGGUACCGUAACUUCGGGAGAAGGUACGCUGUUGUUGGUGAUGGAACUCGCUUCCUGAGCUGACGACAGCCGCAGAAACCAGGCCGCUGCAACUGUUUAUUAAAAACAUAGCACUCUGCAAACACGAAAGUGGACGUAUAGGGUGUGAUGCCUGCCCGGUGCUGGAAGGUUAAUUGAUGGGGUUAGCGUAAGCGAAGCUCUUGAUCGAAGCCCCAGUAAACGGCGGCCGUAACUAUAACGGUCCUAAGGUAGCGAAAUUCCUUGUCGGGUAAGUUCCGACCUGCACGAAUGGCAUAAUGAUGGCGGCGCUGUCUCCAGCAGAGGCUCAGUGAAAUCGAAAUCGCUGUGAAGAUGCAGUGUACCCGCGGCUAGACGGAAAGACCCCGUGAACCUUUACUGCAGCUUGACACUGAACUUUGACCUUACUUGUGUAGGAUAGGUGGGAGGCUUUGAAGCUGGAACGCUAGUUCCAGUGGAGCCGUCCUUGAAAUACCACCCUGGUAAUGUUGAGGUUCUAACUCUGUCCCGUGAUCCGGGACGAGGACCGUGUCUGGUGGGUAGUUUGACUGGGGCGGUCUCCUCCUAAAGAGUAACGGAGGAGUACGAAGGUGCGCUCAGCGUGGUCGGAAAUCACGCGUAGAGUAUAAAGGCAAAAGCGCGCUUAACUGCGAGACCCACAAGUCGAGCAGGUACGAAAGUAGGUCUUAGUGAUCCGGUGGUUCUGUAUGGAAGGGCCAUCGCUCAACGGAUAAAAGGUACUCUGGGGAUAACAGGCUGAUACCGCCCAAGAGUUCAUAUCGACGGCGGUGUUUGGCACCUCGAUGUCGGCUCAUCUCAUCCUGGGGCUGAAGCAGGUCCCAAGGGUAUGGCUGUUCGCCAUUUAAAGAGGUACGCGAGCUGGGUUUAGAACGUCGUGAGACAGUUCGGUCCCUAUCUACCGUGGGCGCUGGAAAUUUGAGAGGAUCUGCUCCUAGUACGAGAGGACCAGAGUGGACGAACCUCUGGUGUACCGGUUGUGACGCCAGUCGCAUCGCCGGGUAGCUAUGUUCGGAAGGGAUAACCGCUGAAAGCAUCUAAGCGGGAAGCCUACCUCAAGAUAAGAUUUCCCUAGGACUUUAUGUCCUCUAAAGAGCCGUUCGAGACUAGGACGUUGAUAGGUUGGAUGUGGAAGCAUAGUGAUAUGUGAAGCUGACCAAUACUAAUUGCUCGUGAGGCUUGACUAUACAACACCCAAGCAGUUG
This 1843-nucleotide ribosomal RNA is filed under the name Acinetobacter baumannii. Its description in RNAcentral is "partial 23S ribosomal RNA". It matches the Rfam family "Bacterial large subunit ribosomal RNA", at positions 1120 to 2925 of the family's 2925-position model. The record is from RNAcentral. Lineage: Bacteria; Pseudomonadati; Pseudomonadota; Gammaproteobacteria; Moraxellales; Moraxellaceae.